RNAcentral lists this ribosomal RNA (495 nucleotides) under uncultured bacterium. Its description in RNAcentral is "partial 16S ribosomal RNA". It matches the Rfam family "Bacterial small subunit ribosomal RNA", at positions 28 to 507 of the family's 1533-position model. The record is from RNAcentral.
GACGAACGCUGGCGGCGUGCCUAAUACAUGCAAGUAGAACGCUGAAGGAGGAGCUUGCUUCUCUGGAUGAGUUGCGAACGGGUGAGUAACGCGUAGGUAACCUGCCUGGUAGCGGGGGAUAACUAUUGGAAACGAUAGCUAAUACCGCAUAAUAGUAGAUGUUGCAUGACAUUUGCUUAAAAGGUGCAAUUGCAUCACUACCAGAUGGACCUGCGUUGUAUUAGCUAGUUGGUGGGGUAACGGCUCACCAAGGCGACGAUACAUAGCCGACCUGAGAGGGGGAUCGGCCACACUGGGAAUGAGACACGGCCCAGACUCCUACGGGAGGCAGCAGUAGGGAAUCUUCGGCAAUGGACGGAAGUCUGACCGAGCAACGCCGCGUGAGUGAAGAAGGUUUUCGGAUCGUAAAGCUCUGUUGUAAGAGAAGAACGAGUGUGAGAGUGGAAAGUUCACACUGUGACGGUAUCUUACCAGAAAGAGACGGCUAACUACGUG